Molecule: long non-coding RNA, 745 nt
Filed under: Nicotiana tabacum (common tobacco)
Lineage: Eukaryota; Viridiplantae; Streptophyta; Magnoliopsida; Solanales; Solanaceae
Description: long non-coding RNA (NTAB_LNC002036)
Source: RNAcentral
GAAACACUUGUAUGAACCUUUUCUUUGGAGUGAUCUUGUGAGGUUAUUCUCUUGGGGUAUUUAGAAUUAAUUAGAGUAUUUACUCUAAUUUUGUAUUCUUGUUGCUAUAAUGAAAUUGUUCCCCUCCGCUUGUGGACGUAGGUCACACUGACCGAACUACGUUAAAUUGGUGCCUUCUUUAUAUGCUUUAAAUACCAUUAUUAUCAGCUUGCAUUGUUUUUGUUAUUGUCAUUAUAAUAUUAUUUGGCUAAAUUCUACACUACCUGGGUUCCGAUCUUUGGUAUAUAAAACAUUGUUUUAUGUUUUUUGUAGCAAUAUUGAAGCUGAAAAGGAUGAAAAGGCAACCAAAACUCAACCAAAUAGUCAAAAGAUGCUGAAGUUCUGCGGGCGGAAUAAGACAUGCUCCUAGUUCGCGCAUAACUGAUUCGAGAGCUGAACGUCAAGUAUGAAGAUUCCACUAUUGCAGGUGCCCAAGACAAGUUCUCUACCCGUCUACCGUAUGCAAAUUAAAGUUCUGAGCAGGAAAAUUGGACCAUUGCUACCGUAAGCGAGGAAGUCUAGUUGCAACCGUGCACACAAAAAAACAUCAGAGAGGUGCAAAAUAACUUUUGCUACUGCUGUUGGUGAACUUUAGUUUCUGAGGCCACACUACUCCAGUUCCUGCCAGCUCGAUCACCAACGAACACGUACAAAAGAUCUGCAGGCGGUGCUAGCAUGCCUCGGUGCACACACAAUUCUGGCGGCC